Molecule: ribosomal RNA, 255 nt
Filed under: uncultured bacterium
Lineage: Bacteria
Description: partial 16S ribosomal RNA
Rfam family: Bacterial small subunit ribosomal RNA
Source: RNAcentral
UACGUAGGGGGCAAGCGUUGUCCGGAAUCAUUGGGCGUAAAGCGCGUGUAGGCGGCCAGAAAAGUCCGCUGUGAAAACUCGAGGCUCAACUUCGAGCUGUCGGUGGAAACUUUCUGGCUAGAGUCCGGAAGAGGAGAAUGGAAUUCCUGGUGUAGCGGUGAAAUGCGCAGAUAUCAGGAGGAACACCUGCGGGUGUAGACGGCUUACGUGGACGGUAACUGACGCUGAGGCACGAAAGCGUGGGUAGCAAACAGG